Molecule: long non-coding RNA, 561 nt
Organism: Pezoporus flaviventris
Lineage: Eukaryota; Metazoa; Chordata; Aves; Psittaciformes; Psittacidae
Exons: 4
Source: RefSeq, a predicted model, not a curated record
GACUUCAUCCCAAGCUAUCCUUCUCUUCAUGCAGCUGUACACCAGGAUAGAACCUUUCACAGGAGAGAACAGCUUUUCAAAUGCAAUCAGGGACUACCAGGACACACCACAACAAGCACCCAAAACACAGGAAGGAGCCCGCCAGCUGCAGAAAGCCAGCCUGAGGAUCAAAAGCACAACGUCCCAGAUAACUGUUAAGCUAAUGGGGAGCAUAGGGAACUCCUGAUGUCCUGCAAAUCUUCAGCAAGGAGCAUGGAAGAAGAGGGCAGAAAAAGACAGUGAGAGGAUGUUAUUUCCUAUGCACAUGAGAUAAGCUCUCAGCAUGAGUACAACCCAGAUUCCCACUUAGCUUCUCUUCACGUAUUUACUUGGCAGAGAUGAGGCCACUUGCACCAGUGGAGCAGGCGGGGAAGAAGAUGCAUCUAUUGGUGAAGCUCAGCCCAGCUCUGUUGGCAUCAGGCACCCAUGUUUAUUACAGCUGGCAAAGAGGUCCCAGCUUCAGACAGCUGUCUGCCAUCCGCUUUGGCCAGACACCGAGACGCUAGCAAUUGUCUGCUGGUA